Molecule: unclassified non-coding RNA, 209 nt
Filed under: Hevea brasiliensis (rubber tree)
Lineage: Eukaryota; Viridiplantae; Streptophyta; Magnoliopsida; Malpighiales; Euphorbiaceae
Source: RNAcentral
AAAUUAUUAAGAAAAUUAUAAACUAAAAUGUACAGAACUUAUGUUUCACAAUAGAACUCAUAAUUUAUUGACAUCAUGACUAUUAACAAAUGGCUUAUGUCAAACUGUGUGGCAGCUUCCUUCACCUUUGCCCCCAUCCUUUAUACCAUUUUACAUGUGUUGGCAUAGGAAAAGCAAAUAAGACAAUACCAAUAAUGGACAAGAUUAUA